ACUUGAACCCCUCUAUCUAUUUUCUCUCUGGCGAGUAGUAACCCACUCUUUCUCUUUCUUUCUUUGGCAACCCCCUCUUUCUCUCUUUCUCUCUCUGGCUCCCCUACCAAAUCCAUUCUCUUUUUUUCUUUUCUCCCUCCAUCUCUCUUCCUCUUUCCCCAUCUCUCCGGUGGUGGAGGCUCCGACGAUGCCACGACACGAGUCGUGCGCACCUCCACCGACACCUUCCGGGCCGCGCACUACAGGAUUGAUCCCGGACGCGGCGCGCUCCCUCGGCCCCGCGAGCUACACGGAUCGAUCCUGGGCAGCGAUCUAAGGAUUUAGUUCUCCAACUGCGGCGGUUCCCACACCUUCGAUCCUUGACGCCAUUCUCGAGUGACAUUGCUGGUCCGAGUUGGGACGGUUCGUGAAGCGCGCAUCUUAGCAAUCGAUAGAGCUAUCGACCUGUCUUUUUGGUUAAACUCCUCAAGCCUAUCUUUUUAAUAAUUGACUUAGUAUUUAUGGUUCAGUGGUUUGCUUAAAUUGGAUAAAUGGGAUUUUGAGAAUGUAAUAAAGAACUUAUGGUUUUCUUUUGAAAUGAAGACAGUUUUCUAUCUCUCGUGGUAGCGCGUUUUAAAAGAAAAGGGUUUCCAUAUGGGAAAUGGUUUUAAAAAGGCUUUUUCUUGGUUUUCACGAUUCUUAGUAUUUCAAAAUGAGUUUCCGGAUAGAAAACGUUUUAAACUAACAGAUGUGAAUUUAUAUCUAUUUGUGAUCGAAUAAAGUGAAAAUUGUGAUGUGGUUAUGUAUGUGGAUGUUCAUACAGUUGUGGUUGUAUAUUGUACUUGUGUGACGCCGUGCAAAUACAGAGAAGACUCUGUCCGUGUGAACAGUGAACUCACUAUAUUUAUGGCGGAUUUUGCAUACCUUGUGUAGUACACUGAACUUUAGCAAAUUGCGAAGUUCGAGUGUUAGAAUAGUAAUUGAAACUAUUCUACAUCUUUUGAGGGGUUGUCGAGAGGUUUUCGGCAAGUUACUUGAGUGAUCAAAUGGCCGGAAGAGCAAAAGUGCAUUGAAGCGGGGAAAUUCUGCAUUUUGCACCGAGUACCGGUACCAACUUGCUCGAGUACCGGUACUCAGUACAGCAGCUACAUGGCUGAGGCUGUUUUGGUCAUUUCACCUUUGAACUUAUCCUUUUAUCACCCUAGCUUGAUCCCUGCAGCAGCUUAAGGUGUGCUGAAGCUCAGAGAACAGGAGUUAGAGCAGCUGUAGAAGAGUGGAAAGGAGUCUUGGGGAGAGGUAUUUCGUGACCCUAACUCAGUAGGAAGCUGAGUUGAAGUUUUACGAGCUGGUUUUGGAAAGCUUUGUAGCAGCUGUAGAAGAGUUGUUCCGCUGUGUUUCUUCAACCCUAACUCAGUAGGGAGCUUUGUUACAACUUUGGAAAUGUUGUUCGCAGCAGGUUGUAUAAACUCUGUUGGCUCAGUUUGAGGACUCUUGUGAGCUGGUUUUGGUGUGCUUCAAACUAAGUUGGGGCUGCGCAAGCAGGUGCACAGCAGAGUAUUGGAUUCCUUUGGCUGAGAUUUGUGAGCAUUGGAAGGUUGGUUUUGAUGUGUUCCAACCUGAAUUGAAGAGGAAUUCAACUUUGGUUACUUCUAAGGUACUUUGAAGCUUCAGAUUAUCUUCGUUUGUGGAAUCGACAAGAGUCGACAGCAAUUAGGUGGUUUUGACUUACCGAAAUGGAGCCUUCCACAGCGGGAAAGGCUAGGGUUCUUGGCGAGGGCUCAGCGACUAGCUAGAGCCUUCUCGAUAUUAAAUAGAUGAACAUCUACAAGUUUAUUCUAGUUUAGUUCAGUAAUUGUAUAUUGGAUCUAUGUAGAAUGUAUUUUAUUUUUGAGUUAUAA
Molecule: long non-coding RNA, 1877 nt
Organism: Ananas comosus (pineapple)
Lineage: Eukaryota; Viridiplantae; Streptophyta; Magnoliopsida; Poales; Bromeliaceae
Exons: 8
Source: RefSeq, a predicted model, not a curated record